This 68-nucleotide transfer RNA is filed under the name Pacris xizangensis. RNAcentral's name for it is "tRNA-Thr". The record is from RNAcentral. Lineage: Eukaryota; Metazoa; Arthropoda; Insecta; Orthoptera; Acrididae.
GUUUUAACAGUUUUAAAAACAUUGGUCUUGUAAACCAAAGAUGAGAGAAGCCCCCCUCUCUUAAAACU